GGCGGACCCGCCCGGACAUGGGGCGGUGCGGGGGGAGCAGCGGCCUCUUUGGGCGGCGGCAGUGGCCACGUGCGGAGCCGCGGGAUGGGGCUCCGCUCCGCCGUGGGGUGAAGUGAGGGCUUCCAGAUGAUAUGAGGCUUAAGCGUGUGUGAAGGGAUUGCUGUCGCUCGGUGCUCUAGGGUUCUGGAAGAUGCAGCCCUCAGGUAAUCCAUGUUUUGCUGCGGAGGGGGCUUACUGCUGCAGCAGUGGUUGUCAGAAGGAAAGGAAUGAGCGGUUGGUGCUGCUGUGAAGGUCCCUGCUUGAGGCAGACGGAGAAAGUGGAAACAUCCACAAUUUCACUGGUACUGCUAGAGAAGCCCUUCUUCUCAAGGCCUGGGUGCUGUGACUUGAAACAGCAGUAAGGGACAAGGUGUGAUGGGAAUUGCACAUACAGUUUGUUCAGAGUUAAUCCCCUCACUGGUGUUUAAAAUGUUAUUUUUUUCUAUGACUUCUAUUUAUUAAACUUAC
Cuculus canorus (common cuckoo) is the source of this 507-nucleotide long non-coding RNA. RefSeq lists it as uncharacterized. Lineage: Eukaryota; Metazoa; Chordata; Aves; Cuculiformes; Cuculidae. The transcript has 3 exons. The record is from RefSeq and is a predicted model, not a curated record.